GAUGAACGCUGGCGGCGUGCCUAAUACAUGCAAGUCGAGCGAACGGACGAGAAGCUUGCUUCUCUGAUGUUAGCGGCGGACGGGUGAGUAACACGUGGAUAACCUACCUAUAAGACUGGGAUAACUUCGGGAAACCGGAGCUAAUACCGGAUGAUAUUUUGAACCGCAUGGUUCAAAAGUGAAAGACGGUCUUGCUGUCACUUAUAGAUGGAUCCGCGCUGCAUUAGCUAGUUGGUAAGGUAACGGCUUACCAAGGCAACGAUGCAUAGCCGACCUGAGAGGGUGAUCGGCCACACUGGAACUGAGACACGGUCCAGACUCCUACGGGAGGCAGCAGUAGGGAAUCUUCCGCAAUGGGCGAAAGCCUGACGGAGCAACGCCGCGUGAGUGAUGAAGGUCUUCGGAUCGUAACUCUGUUAUUAGGGAAGAACAUAUGUGUAAGUAACUGUGCACAUCUUGACGGUACCUAAUCAGAAAGCCACGGCUAACUACGUG
This 495-nucleotide ribosomal RNA is filed under the name uncultured bacterium. Its description in RNAcentral is "partial 16S ribosomal RNA". It matches the Rfam family "Bacterial small subunit ribosomal RNA", at positions 28 to 507 of the family's 1533-position model. The record is from RNAcentral.